AGCGAACGCUGGCGGCAGGCUUAACACAUGCAAGUCGAGCGCCACGCCAGGGGUGUGGUAGACUGGAGGGUAAGACGUGGGAAGAUUAAUAUUGGUUCGAAACAACUGAGGGAAACUUCAGAUAAUACCGGAUAAGCGCUUAUGGGGAAAGAUUUAUCGGCGAAGGUUUGGGCCGCGUCUGAUUUGCUAGUUGGUGAGGUGACGGCUCACCAAGGCGACGAUCAGUAGCUGGUCUGAGAGGAUGAUCAGUCUAACUGGGACUGAGACACAGCCCAGACUCCUACGGGAGGCAGCAGUGUGGUAUAUUGUACAAUGGGGCCAACCCUGAUACAGCCAUGCCGCGUAUGUGAUGAUGCCCUUUGUGUUGCAAAUCUCUUUUUCCCGGAGAGAUAAUGACGGUACCGGGUAAAUAAGCCCCGGCUAACUUCGUG
This 431-nucleotide ribosomal RNA is filed under the name uncultured bacterium. Its description in RNAcentral is "partial 16S ribosomal RNA". It matches the Rfam family "Bacterial small subunit ribosomal RNA", at positions 29 to 507 of the family's 1533-position model. The record is from RNAcentral.